AGAGAGAGGAAGGGAAGCAGGCUCCCUGCUGAGCAGAGAGCCCAAUGCAGGGCUCGAGCCCAGGACCCUGGGACCAUGACCAGAGCCGAAGGCAGAGGCUUAACCCACUGAGCCACCCAGGCGCCCCUGAAGACUCCAUUUUAAACCUAUUUACUUAUUUGAGAGGAAGAGUGAGCACAAGUCAGGGGAGGAGCAGAGGGAAAGAGUCUUCAAGCAGACUCCCUGUUGAGCGUGGAGCCUGACCCAAGUCUUGAUUUCAAGGCGCAAGAGAUCAUGACCUGAGCUGAAACCAAGAGUUGGACACUUAAGCAACUGAGCCACCAGGUAUGGCUGUAAGCGAAGUCACACAGCGGCCCCACAUUGCCAGAUGAGGAUCGUACGGCUCAUCUCCAACCAGCUUUUCCAGGACUCAACACCCAGGCAGAACUGACGUUCUAAAGAGCAGCCACCUAGAAAGGCGAUACGCCACCCUGUCCACGGGCACCACCACUGCCGUAUCAGUGGUGUACAUCUGAGGAAUCAGGAGGAGCACGAGAAGUCCUUGAUUUCUGGAAAACUCUUUCCAAGUGACCCCACGAGAGAGCUCUCUUUCGCGACAGAAGUGGGGAUGCUGUCUGUGCAUGCCGUCACCACGCUUGGGUAAUGACUGUGUGUCAUAAAUAUGGCAUUUCUGAAUGUCUUUAAAGCAAUUUUCCUUUUGUUCCACUAAUUUAAUUUACCAAAUGCUCCUGGGAAAAGGAAGGGGGACCAAGAUGCUGACUCCACGUUUCCUGGAAAACCCACAUUUUCUUUUUAAACUGCUCUCCAAGAAAUUCCAUCUGACCGUUGUCUGCUGGCUGCCUCAGACUCUCCCUCUGUCAAAAAUUCUGACCCGGCAGGUGUGAGAGAGAGGAGAUGCGGAACUUGAGCGAAUACCCACAUCUGUUUUUGGAAAAAAGGAACAGAAGCAGCACAGAAGGAAGUAAAAGAGAUAAUUGCUGGCUUGAACUACAAUACAUUUUACUUGUGGGCAGAGGGCCAACUUGCAGCAGGCAGAAUAGGCAGGCCCGUCUUAUUGGAAUUCAGGGGUGGGCCUCCGUUCUUGUCCGGAGACAGCUGUAAACCAGCAGCCCAUGGCAUCGCAAUCAGGCACCGAGUUUUGUCAAGGAAUGCUGAUACGUACAGAACCAGCUUUGUCUGCUUCAACUGCACCCCUGCCUAGUGAAAUGACAGUCAAUCUCUGAUUCCAGAUGACAAGAACGGGAGGAAAACUUAAAACAAAUGGCGACCUUUCAAAAGAUUAAUUUGUUUACCAACAAAAUGUUCCCUCUUUGUCAUCCGAGAUGGGGGUGACCUUCACUUUCCCAUAUCUGGGCUGAAAGGAUGCUGACUAUAGUCAUCUGUUAACUCCAUCUCAGCAAUUAUUCCCUUUUUUAUUUUUAGUGACAAGAAGGGUUUAUUAAUUCACUCUGCUUCUUGUUAUGGUUUAUAAAUGCAACAAGCUCAUUCUGAAUUACUGCAGUGUAACAUCAAUUUGUUUAAAUCUAAUUCUGCUCCCAUCGCCAAAUUACGUUGUGACUGUAAUUGUGGCCAUAUGCAUGGGGCUUAAAACACAAUCAUGUUUUGAGA
Molecule: long non-coding RNA, 1608 nt
Organism: Mustela lutreola (European mink)
Lineage: Eukaryota; Metazoa; Chordata; Mammalia; Carnivora; Mustelidae
Exons: 4
Source: RefSeq, a predicted model, not a curated record